This 467-nucleotide ribosomal RNA is filed under the name uncultured bacterium. RNAcentral's name for it is "partial 16S ribosomal RNA". It matches the Rfam family "Bacterial small subunit ribosomal RNA", at positions 28 to 507 of the family's 1533-position model. The record is from RNAcentral.
GAUGAACGCUGGCGGCGUGCUUAACACAUGCAAGUCGAACGGAAAGGCCCAAGCUUGCUUGGGUACUCGAGUGGCGAACGGGUGAGUAACACGUGGGUGAUCUGCCCUGCACUUCGGGAUAAGCCUGGGAAACUGGGUCUAAUACCGGAUAGGACCACUUCUUGGAUGUUGUGGUGGAAAGUUUUUUCGGUGUGGGAUGAGCUCGCGGCCUAUCAGCUUGUUGGUGGGGUAAUGGCCUACCAAGGCGUCGACGGGUAGCCGGCCUGAGAGGGUGUACGGCCACAUUGGGACUGAGAUACGGCCCAGACUCCUACGGGAGGCAGCAGUGGGGAAUACUGCACAAUGGGCGCAAGCCUGAUGCAGCGACGCCGCGUGGGGGAUGACGGCCUUCGGGUUGUAAACUCCUUUCGCUAGGGACGAAGCGUUUUGUGACGGUACCUGGAGAAGAAGCACCGGCUAACUACGUG